CCUCCCAGCCGCCGCCCGCCGCCCGCCGUCCAAGGCUGCGCUCGUGCUCGGGAACCCUCGCGUCCGCCGACGACUCGCUGGUGCCAGGCGCUUGAGCGGUGGGCUGGAGCUGCUCGCCCGCCUGCGCGCGCUGCGGCCUGCGGGGGUGGCGGUAAAUUCUUCUGCGCUCUCGCCUCGUCUCCGCUCCGAGUUGCCCGGGGCUGUUCCCCUGGUCUCGACGGCGGAUUCGGCAGCGGCUGAUCAGGUCAGUCUGCUACUCUGCUUGGUUCGGUUGGGUGCUCUGGUCUUUUUCUCCGGAGAAGGAUUGGGCGUUUUGAUCCUGCUUCACGGGCUUAGGCCUGCUCUUCACCAAGGGGUUAGUGGACGUUCCAGGGUCCUGAUUCUCUCGCUGAUCGGUUGAUCAGACGGAGAUUUGGGAGGAAUUCGCCC
This 429-nucleotide long non-coding RNA is filed under the name Hordeum vulgare. RNAcentral's name for it is "long non-coding RNA (HVUL_LNC015091)". Lineage: Eukaryota; Viridiplantae; Streptophyta; Magnoliopsida; Poales; Poaceae. The record is from RNAcentral.